This 1442-nucleotide ribosomal RNA is filed under the name uncultured organism. RNAcentral describes it as "SSU rRNA". It matches the Rfam family "Bacterial small subunit ribosomal RNA". The record is from RNAcentral.
CGCUAGCUACAGGCUUAACACAUGCAAGUCGAGGGGCAGCAUGGUCUUAGCUUGCUAAGGCCGAUGGCGACCGGCGCACGGGUGAGUAACACGUAUCCAACCUGCCGUCUACUCUUGGACAGCCUUCUGAAAGGAAGAUUAAUACAAGAUGGCAUCAUGAGUCCGCAUGUUCACAUGAUUAAAGGUAUUCCGGUAGACGAUGGGGAUGCGUUCCAUUAGAUAGUAGGCGGGGUAACGGCCCACCUAGUCUUCGAUGGAUAGGGGUUCUGAGAGGAAGGUCCCCCACAUUGGAACUGAGACACGGUCCAAACUCCUACGGGAGGCAGCAGUGAGGAAUAUUGGUCAAUGGGCGAGAGCCUGAACCAGCCAAGUAGCGUGAAGGAUGACUGCCCUAUGGGUUGUAAACUUCUUUUAUAAAGGAAUAAAGUCGGGUAUGGAUACCCGUUUGCAUGUACUUUAUGAAUAAGGAUCGGCUAACUCCGUGCCAGCAGCCGCGGUAAUACGGAGGAUCCGAGCGUUAUCCGGAUUUAUUGGGUUUAAAGGGAGCGUAGAUGGAUGUUUAAGUCAGUUGUGAAAGUUUGCGGCUCAACCGUAAAAUUGCAGUUGAUACUGGAUAUCUUGAGUGCAGUUGAGGCAGGCGGAAUUCGUGGUGUAGCGGUGAAAUGCUUAGAUAUCACGAAGAACUCCGAUUGCGAAGGCAGCCUGCUAAGCUGCAACUGACAUUGAGGCUCGAAAGUGUGGGUAUCAAACAGGAUUAGAUACCCUGGUAGUCCACACGGUAAACGAUGAAUACUCGCUGUUUGCGAUAUACUGCAAGCGGCCAAGCGAAAGCGUUAAGUAUUCCACCUGGGGAGUACGCCGGCAACGGUGAAACUCAAAGGAAUUGACGGGGGCCCGCACAAGCGGAGGAACAUGUGGUUUAAUUCGAUGAUACGCGAGGAACCUUACCCGGGCUUAAAUUGCAGAUGAAUUACGGUGAAAGCCGUAAGCCGCAAGGCAUCUGUGAAGGUGCUGCAUGGUUGUCGUCAGCUCGUGCCGUGAGGUGUCGGCUUAAGUGCCAUAACGAGCGCAACCCUUGUUGUCAGUUACUAACAGGUUCCGCUGAGGACUCUGACAAGACUGCCAUCGUAAGAUGUGAGGAAGGUGGGGAUGACGUCAAAUCAGCACGGCCCUUACGUCCGGGGCUACACACGUGUUACAAUGGGGGGUACAGAGGGCCGCUACCACGCGAGUGGAUGCCAAUCCCCAAAACCUCUCUCAGUUCGGACUGGAGUCUGCAACCCGACUCCACGAAGCUGGAUUCGCUAGUAAUCGCGCAUCAGCCACGGCGCGGUGAAUACGUUCCCGGGCCUUGUGCACACCGCCCGUCAAGCCAUGGGAGCCGGGGGUACCUGAAGUGCGUAACCGCGAGGAGCGCCCUAGGGUAAAACUGGUGACUGGGG